AACACUGGCGCAAAUGGGAAGCCGUAAGCUGUAAAGUUAAAGAAAAGUCGACUUCCGUUGUCAUUUGCUGGUCCGAGUGCAAAUGAGGAUUUGUCGAAGCCAGGCUCACCUCACUGAUGCUUUCUCCCGCAGUCUGCUCUUGUCUUGCCGUUUGGCACAAAACAAGAAAGAAAAAAAGCCCCUAAGG
Molecule: long non-coding RNA, 187 nt
Organism: Rhea pennata
Lineage: Eukaryota; Metazoa; Chordata; Aves; Rheiformes; Rheidae
Exons: 2
Source: RefSeq, a predicted model, not a curated record